RNAcentral lists this ribosomal RNA (640 nucleotides) under uncultured Actinomycetes bacterium. Its description in RNAcentral is "bacterial SSU rRNA". It matches the Rfam family "Bacterial small subunit ribosomal RNA", at positions 232 to 885 of the family's 1533-position model. The record is from RNAcentral. Lineage: Bacteria; Bacillati; Actinomycetota; Actinomycetes.
CGCGGCCUAUCAGCUUGUUGGUGAGGUAACGGCUCACCAAGGCAACGACGGGUAGCUGGUCUGAGAGGACGAUCAGCCACACUGGAACUGAGAUACGGUCCAGACUCCUACGGGAGGCAGCAGCAGGGAAUCUUGCGCAAUGGGCGAAAGCCUGACGCAGCGACGCCGCGUGGGGGAUGAAGGCCUUAGGGUUGUAAACCCCUUUCACGAGGGAAGAAGAUGACGGUACCUCGAGAAGAAGCCCCGGCCGACUACGUGCCAGCAGCCGCGGUAAGACGUGGGGGGCGAGCGUUGUCCGGAUUUAUUGGGCGUAAAGGGCUCGUAGGCGGCUUGACAAGUCGGCCGUGAAAACCCAGGGCUCAACCCUGGGACGCCGGUCGAUACUGUCAUGGCUAGGGUCCGGUAGAGGGGAAUGGAAUUCCCGGUGUAGCGGUGAAAUGCGCAGAUAUCGGGAGGAACACCAGUAGCGAAGGCGGUUCCCUGGGCCGGUACCGACGCUGAGGAGCGAAAGCGUGGGUAGCAAACAGGAUUAGAUACCCUGGUAGUCCACGCCGUAAACGUUGGGUACUAGGCGUGGCGUCUUAUCAACGGAUGCCGUGCUCGAAGCUAACGCGUUAAGUACCCCGCCUGGGGAGUACGG